UAUUGCACAAUGGGGGAAACCCUGAUGCAGCAAUGCCGCGUGAGUGAAGAAGUAUUUCGGUAUGUAAAGCUCUAUCAGCAGGGAAGAAAAAAGACGGUACCUGACUAAGAAGCCCCGGCUAACUACGUGCCAGCAGCCGCGGUAAUACGUAGGGGGCAAGCGUUAUCCGGAUUUACUGGGUGUAAAGGGGGCGCAGGCGGUAUGGCAAGUCAGAUGUGAAAACUCGAGGCUCAACCAUGGGACUGCAUUUGAAACUGUCAGACUGGAGUGCCGGAGAGGCAAGUGGAAUUCCUAGUGUAGCGGUGAAAUGCGUAGAUAUUAGGAGGAACACCAGUGGCGAAGGCGGCUUGCUGGACGGUAACUGACGCUGAGGCCCGAAAGCGUGGGGAGCAAACAG
Molecule: ribosomal RNA, 397 nt
Filed under: uncultured bacterium
Lineage: Bacteria
Description: bacterial SSU rRNA
Rfam family: Bacterial small subunit ribosomal RNA
Source: RNAcentral